AGAGUUUGAUCCUGGCUCAGAUUGAACGCUGGCGGCAUGCCUAACACAUGCAAGUCGAACGGAAACGAUGGGAGCUUGCUCCCAGGCGUCGAGUGGCGGACGGGUGAGUAAUACUUAGGAAUCUACCCAGUAGCGGGGGACAACUCGAGGAAACUCGAGCUAAUACCGCAUACGCCCUACGGGGGAAAGCAGGGGAUCUUCGGACCUUGCACUAUUGGAUGAGCCUAAGUCGGAUUAGCUUGUUGGUGAGGUAAAGGCUCACCAAGCCUAAGACGGGUAGCUGGUCUGAGAGGACGAUCAGCCACACUGGAACUGAGACACGGUCCAGACUCCUACGGGAGGCAGCAGCAGGGAAUAUUGCACAAUGGGCGAAAGCCUGAUGCAGCGACACCGCGUGCGGGAUGACGGCCUUAGGGUUGUAAACCGCUUUCAGGAGGGAAGAAAAUGACGGUACCUCCAGAAGAAGCUCCGGCCAACUACGUGCCAGCAGCCGCGGUAAUACGUAGGGAGCAAACGUUGUCCGGAUUUAUUGGGCGUAAAGGGCUCGUAGGCGGUUCAACAAGUCGAUCGUGAAAGCCAGGGGCUCAACCCCUGGAGGCCGGUCGAAACUGUUGUGACUAGAGUUCGGUAGAGGUGAGUGGAAUUCUCGGUGUAGCGGUGGAAUGCGCAGAUAUCGAGAGGAACACCAUUAGCGAAGGC
RNAcentral lists this ribosomal RNA (699 nucleotides) under uncultured bacterium. RNAcentral's name for it is "bacterial SSU rRNA". It matches the Rfam family "Bacterial small subunit ribosomal RNA", at positions 8 to 722 of the family's 1533-position model. The record is from RNAcentral.